CCUACGGGAGGCAGCAGUGGGGAAUAUUGGGCAAUGGGCGCAAGCCUGACCCAGCAACGCCGCGUGAAGGAAGAAGGCUUUCGGGUUGUAAACUUCUUUUCUGAGGGACGAAGAAAGUGACGGUACCUCAGGAAUAAGCCACGGCUAACUACGUGCCAGCAGCCGCGGGAAUACGUAGGUGGCAAGCGUUAUACGGAUUGAUUGGGUGUAAAGGGCGUGUAGGCGGGAAAGGAAAUCAGAUGGGAAAACUCAGGGGUUAACCCUGAGCCUGGAUUUGAAACUGUUUUUCUUGAGUGCUGGAGAGGCAAGCGGAAUGCGGGGUGUAGCGGUGAAAUGCGUAGAUAUCAGGAGGAACACCAGUGGCGAAGGCGGAUUGCUGGCCAGUAACUGACGCUGAGGCGCGAAAGCGUGGGGAGCGAACAGGAUUAGAUACCCGAGUAGUC
This 443-nucleotide ribosomal RNA is filed under the name uncultured bacterium. RNAcentral describes it as "partial 16S ribosomal RNA". It matches the Rfam family "Bacterial small subunit ribosomal RNA", at positions 338 to 795 of the family's 1533-position model. The record is from RNAcentral.